CACACAGUAAACGAUGAAUACUCGCUGUUUGCGAUAUACAGUAAGCGGCCAAGCGAAAGCAUUAAGUAUUCCACCUGGGGAGUACGCCGGCAACGGUGAAACUCAAAGGAAUUGACGGGGGCCCGCACAAGCGGAGGAACAUGUGGUUUAAUUCGAUGAUACGCGAGGAACCUUACCCGGGCUUAAAUUGCAGUGGAAUGAUGUGGAAACAUGUCAGUGAGCAAUCACCGCUGUGAAGGUGC
Molecule: ribosomal RNA, 242 nt
Filed under: uncultured bacterium
Lineage: Bacteria
Also listed under: 1 other name
Description: partial 16S ribosomal RNA
Rfam family: Bacterial small subunit ribosomal RNA
Source: RNAcentral